GACGAACGCUGGCGGCGUGCCUAAAACAUGCAAGUCGAACGGGGGCUUCGGCCCUAGUGGCGAACGGCGGAGUAAUACAUAAACAACGUGCCCUGAAGACCGGGAUAGUUACUGGAAACGGUGGGUAAUACCGGAUGUGGUUCUUAGAGGACAUCCUUUGAGAAUUAAAUGGUUUUUCGCUUCAGGAGCGGUUUAUGGCCUAUCAGCUAGUUGGUGGGGUAAUGGCCUACCAAGGCGACGACGGGUAGGGGGUCUGAGAGGAUGAUCCCCCCGAGUGGGACUGAGACACGGCCCACACACCUACGGGUGGGCAGCAGUUGGGAAUCUUGCACAAUGGGGGGAAACCCGUACGAUGCAGCGACGCCGCGUGGAGGAUGAAGGAUUUAGGUCUGUAAACUACCUUUUUCUAGGGAAAGACUUAGGACGGUACCCUGAGAAUAAGCACCGGCUAACUACGUG
This 459-nucleotide ribosomal RNA is filed under the name uncultured bacterium. Its description in RNAcentral is "bacterial SSU rRNA". It matches the Rfam family "Bacterial small subunit ribosomal RNA", at positions 28 to 507 of the family's 1533-position model. The record is from RNAcentral.